This 16-nucleotide small RNA is filed under the name Arabidopsis thaliana (thale cress). RNAcentral's name for it is "ATSL219420". The record is from RNAcentral. Lineage: Eukaryota; Viridiplantae; Streptophyta; Magnoliopsida; Brassicales; Brassicaceae.
AAUUUUAACCUCUUAA